Molecule: ribosomal RNA, 501 nt
Filed under: uncultured bacterium
Lineage: Bacteria
Description: partial 16S ribosomal RNA
Rfam family: Bacterial small subunit ribosomal RNA
Source: RNAcentral
ACUGAACGCUGGCGGCAGGCUUAACACAUGCAAGUCGAGCGGGGGAAGGUAGCUUGCUACCGGACCUAGCGGCGGACGGGUGAGUAAUGCUUAGGAAUCUGCCUAUUAGUGGGGGACAACAUCUCGAAAGGGAUGCUAAUACCGCAUACGUCCUACGGGAGAAAGCAGGGGAUCUUCGGACCUUGCGCUAAGAGAUGAGCCUAAGUCGGAUUAGCUAGUUGGUGGGGUAAAGGCCUACCAAGGCGACGAUCUGUAGCGGGUCUGAGAGGAUGAGCCGCCACACUGGGACUGAGACACGGCCCAGACUCCUACGGGAGGCAGCAGUGGGGAAUAUUGGACAAUGGGGGGAACCCUGAUCCAGCCAUGCCGCGUGUGUGAAGAAGGCCUUAUGGUUGUAAAGCACUUUAAGCGAGGAGGAGGCUACUUUAGUUAAUACCUAGAGAUAGUGGACGUUACUCGCAGAAUAAGCACCGGCUAACUCUGUGCCAGCCGCCGCCGUAA